GCAGCAUAGAGAGCUUGCUCUCUGAUGGCGAGUGGCGAACGGGUGAGUAAUAUAUCGGAACGUGCCUAGUAAUGGGGAACAACUAAUCGAAAGAUUAGCUAAUACCGCAUACGACCUACGGGUGAAAGCAGGGGAUCUUCGGACCUUGCGUUAUUAGAGCGGCCGAUAUCUGAUUAGCUUGCUGGUAGGGUAAAAGCCUACCAAGGCAACGAUCAGUAGCUGGUCUGAGAGGACGAUCAGCCACACUGGAACUGAGACACGGUCCAGACUCCUACGGGAGGCAGCAGUGGGGAAUUUUGGACAAUGGGGGCAACCCUGAUCCAGCCAUUCCGCGUGAGUGAAGAAGGCCUUCGGGUUGUAAAGCUCUUUCGCAAGAGAAGAAAACUUGCUAUCUAAUAAAUAGUAAGCAUGACGGUAUCUUGAUAAGAAGCACCGGCUAACUAUGUGCCAGCAGCCGCGGUAAUACAUAGGGUGCGAGCGUUAAUCGGAAUUACUGGGCGUAAAGCGUUCGCAGGCGGUUUUAUAAGUCAGAUGUGAAAUCCCCGAGCUCAACUUGGGAACUGCGUUUGAAACUGUAAGACUAGAGUGUGUCAGAGGGGGGUAGAAUUCCAUGUGUAGCAGUGAAAUCCGUAGAUAUGUGGAGGAAUACCGAUGGCGAAGGCAGCCCCCUGGGAUAACACUGACGCUCAUGAACGAAAGCGUGGGGAGCAACCAGGAUUAGAUACCCUGGUAGUCCACGCC
RNAcentral lists this ribosomal RNA (741 nucleotides) under uncultured marine bacterium. Its description in RNAcentral is "bacterial SSU rRNA". It matches the Rfam family "Bacterial small subunit ribosomal RNA", at positions 66 to 801 of the family's 1533-position model. The record is from RNAcentral.